RNAcentral lists this ribosomal RNA (301 nucleotides) under uncultured bacterium. RNAcentral's name for it is "partial 16S ribosomal RNA". It matches the Rfam family "Bacterial small subunit ribosomal RNA", at positions 509 to 807 of the family's 1533-position model. The record is from RNAcentral.
CAGUAGCCGCGGGAAUACGUAGGGUGCAAGCGUUAAUCGGAAUUACUGGGCGUAAAGCGUGCGCAGGCGGUUAUAUAAGACAGAUGUGAAAUCCCCGGGCUCAACCUGGAAACUGCAUUUGUGACUGUAUAGCUAGAGUACGGCAGAGGGGGAUGGAAUUCCGCGUGUAGCAGUGAAAUGCGUAGAUAUGCGGAGGAACACCGAUGGCGAAGGCAAUCCCCUGGGCCUGUACUGACGCUCAUGCACGAAAGCGUGGGGAGCAAACAGGAUUAGAUACCCCGGUAGUCCCUGUCUCUUAUAC